Molecule: ribosomal RNA, 497 nt
Filed under: uncultured bacterium
Lineage: Bacteria
Description: partial 16S ribosomal RNA
Rfam family: Bacterial small subunit ribosomal RNA
Source: RNAcentral
GAUGAACGCUGGCGGCGUGCCUAAUACAUGCAAGUCGAGCGAACAGACGAGGAGCUUGCUCCUCUGACGUUAGCGGCGGACGGGUGAGUAACACGUGGAUAACCUACCUAUAAGACUGGGAUAACUUCGGGAAACCGGAGCUAAUACCGGAUAAUAUAUUGAACCGCAUGGUUCAAUAGUGAAAGACGGUUUUGCUGUCACUUAUAGAUGGAUCCGCGCCGCAUUAGCUAGUUGGUAAGGUAACGGCUUACCAAGGCAACGAUGCGUAGCCGACCUGAGAGGGUGAUCGGCCACACGGGAACUGAGACACGGUCCAGACUCCUACGGGAGGCAGCAGUAGGGAAUCUUCCGCAAUGGGCGAAAGCCUGACGGAGCAACGCCGCGUGAGUGAUGAAGGUCUUCGGAUCGUAAAACUCUGUUAUUAGGGAAGAACAAAUGUGUAAGUAACUAUGCACGUCUUGACGGUACCUAAUCAGAAAGCCACGGCUAACCACGUG